UGCAAGUCGAGCGAAUGGAUUAAGAGCUUGCUCUUAUGAAGUUAGCGGCGGACGGGUGAGUAACACGUGGGUAACCUGCCCAUAAGACUGGGAUAACUCCGGGAAACCGGGGCUAAUACCGGAUAACAUUUUGAACCGCAUGGUUCGAAAUUGAAAGGCGGCUUCGGCUGUCACUUAUGGAUGGACCCGCGUCGCAUUAGCUAGUUGGUGAGGUAACGGCUCACCAAGGCAACGAUGCGUAGCCGACCUGAGAGGGUGAUCGGCCACACUGGGACUGAGACACGGCCCAGACUCCUACGGGAGGCAGCAGUAGGGAAUCUUCCGCAAUGGACGAAAGUCUGACGGAGCAACGCCGCGUGAGUGAUGAAGGCUUUCGGGUCGUAAAACUCUGUUGUUAGGGAAGAACAAGUGCUAGUUGAAUAAGCUGGCACCUUGACGGUACCUAACCAGAAAGCCACGGCUAACUACGUGCCAGCAGCCGCGGUAAUACGUAGGUGGCAAGCGUUAUCCGGAAUUAUUGGGCGUAAAGCGCGCGCAGGUGGUUUCUUAAGUCUGAUGUGAAAGCCCACGGCUCAACCGUGGAGGGUCAUUGGAAACUGGGAGACUUGAGUGCAGAAGAGGAAAGUGGAAUUCCAUGUGUAGCGGUGAAAUGCGUAGAGAUAUGGAGGAACACCAGUGGCGAAGGCGACUUUCUGGUCUGUAACUGACACUGAGGCGCGAAAGCGUGGGGGAGCAAAACAGGAUUAGAUACCCUGGUAGUCCACGCCGUAAACGAUGAGUGCUAAGUGUUAGAGGGUUUCCGCCCCUUUAGUGCUGAAGUUAACGCAUUAAGCACUCCCGCCUGGGGAGUACGGCCGCAAGGCUGAACUCAAAGGAAUUGACGGGGGCCCGCACAAGCGGUG
RNAcentral lists this ribosomal RNA (902 nucleotides) under Bacillus cereus. RNAcentral's name for it is "bacterial SSU rRNA". It matches the Rfam family "Bacterial small subunit ribosomal RNA", at positions 56 to 934 of the family's 1533-position model. Lineage: Bacteria; Bacillati; Bacillota; Bacilli; Caryophanales; Bacillaceae. The record is from RNAcentral.